CCGGUAAACGGCGGCCGUAACUAUAACGGUCCUAAGGUAGCGAAAUUCCUUGUCGGGUAAGUUCCGACCUGCACGAAUGGCGUAAUGAUGGCCAGGCUGUCUCCACCCGAGACUCAGUGAAAUUGAACUCGCUGUGAAGAUGCAGUGUACCCGCGGCAAGACGGAAAGACCCCGUGAACCUUUACUAUAGCUUGACACUGAACAUUGAGCCUUGAUGUGUAGGAUAGGUGGGAGGCUUUGAAGCGUGGACGCCAGUCUGCGUGGAGCCAACCUUGAAAUACCACCCUUUAAUGUUUGAUGUUCUAACGUUGGCCCCUUACCGGGGUUGCGGACAGUGUCUGGUGGGUAGUUUGACUGGGGCGGUCUCCUCCCAAAGCGUAACGGAGGAGCACGAAGGUUAGCUAAUCCUGGUCGGACAUCAGGAGGUUAGUGCAAUGGCAUAAGCUAGCUUGACUGCGAGCGUGACGGCGCGAGCAGGUGCGAAAGCAGGUCAUAGUGAUCCGGUGGUUCUGAAUGGAAGGGCCAUCGCUCAACGGAUAAAAGGUACUCCGGGGAUAACAGGCUGAUACCGCCCAAGAGUUCAUAUCGACGGCGGUGUUUGGCACCUCGAUGUCGGCUCAUCACAUCCUGGGGCUGAAGUAGGUCCCAAGGGUAUGGCUGUUCGCCAUUUAAAGUGGUACGCGAGCUGGGUUUAGAACGUCGUGAGACAGUUCGGUCCCUAUCUGCCGUGGGCGCUGGAGAAUUGAGGGGGGCUGCUCCUAGUACGAGAGGACCGGAGUGGACGCAUCACUGGUGUUCGGGUUGUCAUGCCAAUGGCACUGCCCGGUAGCUAAAUGCGGAAGAGAUAAGUGCUGAAAGCAUCUAAGCACGAAACUUGCCCCG
Molecule: ribosomal RNA, 882 nt
Filed under: Klebsiella pneumoniae
Lineage: Bacteria; Pseudomonadati; Pseudomonadota; Gammaproteobacteria; Enterobacterales; Enterobacteriaceae
Description: partial 23S ribosomal RNA
Rfam family: Bacterial large subunit ribosomal RNA
Source: RNAcentral